UACAGAGGGGGCAAGCGUUAAUCGGAAUUACUGGGCGUAAAACGUGCGUAGACGGUUACAUAAGUCGGGUGUGAAAGCCCCGGGCUCAACCUGGGAAUUGCAUUCGAGACUGCGUAGCUAGGGUGCGGAAGAGGGAAGCGGAAUUUCCGGUGUAGCGGUGAAAUGCGUAGAUAUCGGAAGGAACACCAGUGGCGAAAGCGGCUUCCUGGUCCAGCACCGACGUUCAGGCACGAAAGCGUGGGGAGCAAACAGG
This 253-nucleotide ribosomal RNA is filed under the name uncultured bacterium. RNAcentral's name for it is "partial 16S ribosomal RNA". It matches the Rfam family "Bacterial small subunit ribosomal RNA", at positions 524 to 776 of the family's 1533-position model. The record is from RNAcentral.